UGAACUCCUCUUCCUGUUUCUAGUUUCAAAGUUCGUUUGAUCUUAAGAGUCCUGAUCAGUUCAACCAAACCACCUUCUCCGGGAGGAAACUAAGUCCCAGGGCGGUGCCUCGUCUUGCAACAGGGGAGCUGAACUGUCUUCAAUACCAGCCAGACACCUGACAGAUCGACCUUCCUCAAAGGUGACACCAGCAUGAGCUGCAGUAAGAAUACAGCAGGAAUACACUGGUCCUCGUGCCUGGACUCAGAACAGCUCCGCAGGAACCUGUGGGAACGGAGGGACCUUGGCUUCCCAGAUCUAGUAACCAAGAAAAAAAUUAAUCCUUUUAACAAAGAGAUGUUGUUUGCUCUUC
Molecule: long non-coding RNA, 352 nt
Organism: Cavia porcellus (domestic guinea pig)
Lineage: Eukaryota; Metazoa; Chordata; Mammalia; Rodentia; Caviidae
Exons: 2
Source: RefSeq, a predicted model, not a curated record